GUCUAAGGCCAUACCAUCAUGUACAUACCUGAUCUCAGAAGUUAAGCAGGGUUGGGUCUAGUGCUUGGAUGGGAGACUGCCUGGGAAUAUCAGGUGCUAUGGACU
This 105-nucleotide ribosomal RNA is filed under the name Saimiri boliviensis boliviensis (Bolivian squirrel monkey). The record is from RNAcentral. Lineage: Eukaryota; Metazoa; Chordata; Mammalia; Primates; Cebidae.